This 833-nucleotide small RNA is filed under the name Pongo abelii (Sumatran orangutan). Its description in RNAcentral is "retained intron". Lineage: Eukaryota; Metazoa; Chordata; Mammalia; Primates; Hominidae. The record is from RNAcentral.
GAGGGGCUGCUCAGUGCUUGCUAUCAUGUGUGCCCCAACUAUACCAAUUUCCAGUUUGACACAUCGUUCAUGUACAUGAUCGCCGGACUCUGCAUGCUGAAGCUCUACCAGAAGCGGCACCCGGACAUCAAUGCCAGUGCCUACAGUGCCUAUGCCUGCCUGGCCAUUGUCAUCUUCUUCUCUGUGCUGGGCGUGGUCUUUGGCAAAGGGAACACGGCGUUCUGGAUCGUCUUCUCCAUCAUUCACAUCAUCGCCACCCUGCUUCUCAGCACGCAGCUCUAUUACAUGGGCCGCUGGAAACUGGACUCAGGGAUCUUCCGCCGCAUCCUCCAUGUGCUCUACACAGACUGCAUCCGGCAGUGCAGCGGGCCGCUCUACGUGGACCGCAUGGUGCUGCUGGUCAUGGGCAACGUCAUCAACUGGUCGCUGGCUGCCUAUGGGCUUAUCAUGCGCCCCAAUGAUUUCGCCUCCUACUUGUUGGCCAUUGGCAUUUGCAACCUGCUCCUUUACUUCGCCUUCUACAUCAUUAUGAAGCUCCGGAGUGGGGAAAGGAUCAAGCUCAUCCCCCUGCUCUGCAUCGUUUGCACCUCCGUGGUCUGGGGCUUCGCACUCUUCUUCUUCUUCCAGGGACUCAGCACCUGGCAGGUGAGCACUCACCCACAGGCUCCUUGUGAGCCAACAAGUGCCCAGUCCUCUUUUUAAACAUCGGGGCUGGGCCUGGGAUUACCUGUAAUCCCAGCAUGUUGGGAAGCUGAGGCAGGAGGAUCACUUGAGGCGUUCAAGACCAGCCUGGGCAAUAUAGUAAGAACCCGUCUCUACAAAAAAUAAAAAAA